CAAUGACAGUAGGCGCACGCGGCAGGUUCGACUGACGAUGUUGAUUCGCCGAUUCCUCUCCGGCCCUGCAGCUCUCUCUACAGGGAAUACACCAACGUGUUUGGACAGGUGCCCUCUAUCUGUGCAUGUUUUUGCAUCGGCACCGUGCGUGCCUUCUUUCACCGUCCACUUCCGCCUCUCCGCCACGCCUUUUCCUUGCUGGCUCUGCACAACGAACACCACCGGAGCGCCAAGUAUGACAUAGACUGAUGACGGCUGUCGGCAAACGACGCACUGGCUGCCCGCAGAGCAACAAGCAAGCAGCGCACUACUGGCAGGCAGAUGAGCCUUCUGACCGCCACACGCCUGGUUAUGAUGAGCUGCACGAGCCCGCGUUCAAAUCGCCUCUUGAGCAGACCAUCUGCUGGCCAGCAUCCGCUUAGGAACUUUAGAGCGGCGCGUUAGGAAACCUAUGCUGUUUCCCUUCGCAACUCGCUGCCGCUGUCGUGGCACAGGCUUAGCUACAGCGUUGGCAAGAAGCGCAUCCUGUGCGGGCUGACGGGGACGGCGCUGCCCGGGCGAUGCCUCGCAAUCCUCGGGUCGUCCGGUGCCGGCAAGACAACGUUCCUGAACGCGAUCUGCGACCGACUAGCGUCUGGCGGUGAGCUGAAGCUGAGCGGGAGGCGCCAGCUGGGCGACUGUGAGUUCGAGCGGCACUUUCGCAAGGCGAUGGGGUUCGUGGCGCAGGACGACAUCAUCUCGCCGCUGUCGACGCCGUACGACGCGCUGUGGUUCUCGCUGCGCACGCGGCGCGGGACGGGCCGUGCGGAGACGGAGGAGCGUGUGCAGGAGAUGCUGAGUGUCCUGCGGUUGCGGCACUGCCGCGGCACGAAGGUCGGCAUUCCCGGCCUGGAGGCUGGGCUGUCUGGUGGGGAGCGCAAGCGGUGCAGCAUCGGGAUCGAGCUGAUCUGCGACCCGAAGAUCCUGCUGCUUGAUGAGCCGACGUCUGGGCUGGACUCCGUGACGUCCGCGAAGGUGGUGCACCUGCUGCGCCAGCUGUCGCGGACCGGCCGCACUGUGAUCUACACGAUCCAUCAGCCGACUGCGGAGGUGCUGUCGUACUUCGACGACGUGAUGCUGAUGACGCAGGGCCGCAUUGCGUACCACGGGACGAUGGCUGCGUCGCUGGACUACUUCGAGUCCAUCGGGUUCCCGUGCCCGAGCAAGUACACGCCGACGGACUACUACAUGGUGCUGCUGCAGGACAGCGUGACGAGCAAGGUCCUGAUCAAGCGCUGGCGCAAGUACCUGAAGAACGGACCUCGCACGCCGCACACUGCCGCUGUGCGUUUCGCGAGGAGCCGCAGUGAGUCGUCUGCUGCACGGUUCUUGGAUGCAUACAUUGUGAAGUUCGGCAGCUCGCCGGCUGUGCAGUUGUACGAGCUGACGCGGCGCAGGAUGAUGGAGAUCUCGCGCGACUCCCUGUAUCUGUUCUCGUACACGGCGCAGGCGAUCUUCUUCGCCGUUGUUGUGGGCCUGAUCUUCAUUGUUUUUUUUUUUUUACGUAGACAGCGCCCCACUUUCCUCUUCAUUCUUCCCCAUACUCUGUCUGUGUGCUCUGUGUGGGUUGUUUGGCGCGGUGUUUCUCUCCAUGGCUGUUCAUCUGUGCUAUCGGUUCGGUGUCCCUCCCGCAUUACAGCGUGCGGGUCUCUCUCUCGUUACCUGCACUCCUACAUGAGCGGGAAGUGCAUGGACUCCAGCACGGCUCCAUGUGAACUCGCUGUUAUGUUGCGGAGGGAAGUGUGCCGGCGUGCGCCUCUGUGAAGACGAUGCCCCGCGUAGCCGAUGACGCGCAAAGUCGCACAGAGAUGCCCCCCCUCCCUCCCAUGACAGACACAGGUGGGCAGGCGUGCGGGCCGGACGACACUCACCUUCACGUCCUUCUCCAUCCCCUCCCCACGGCGUCUGUCGCGUCGGGCUCUCCUCAGGGCCCGUGACGCCUACGCCCGACUCUUUUAGCCUUUGGCGUGCUCCGGUGCGCCUAGGGAACGUGGCGUGCGGGGUCCUUCAUCACCCCCACCUUCUCUGCCUUCUCUCUGCCAGUGCGCAGGUAUCGCUGUCUCUGCGGCGGACACGGUUGCGCAUCGAGCCACGGAGCGGCUCGUUCCUUCGCACUUCUUCCGCGUUUUCUCUUGACUCACCACCGCACUUGUGGCUGCCUUCGCUGUCUCUCUCUCUCGUCUCUCUCACAG
RNAcentral lists this unclassified non-coding RNA (2231 nucleotides) under Leishmania donovani. Its description in RNAcentral is "gene:LdHU3.06.0140(CDS-product:ATP-binding_casset te_protein_subfamily_G_member_1_putative)". The record is from RNAcentral. Lineage: Eukaryota; Euglenozoa; Kinetoplastea; Trypanosomatida; Trypanosomatidae.